This 492-nucleotide ribosomal RNA is filed under the name uncultured bacterium. RNAcentral's name for it is "partial 16S ribosomal RNA". It matches the Rfam family "Bacterial small subunit ribosomal RNA", at positions 29 to 507 of the family's 1533-position model. The record is from RNAcentral.
AGUGAACGCUGGCGGUAGGCCUAACACAUGCAAGUCGAACGGCAGCACAGUAAGAGCUUGCUCUUACGGGUGGCGAGUGGCGGACGGGUGAGGAAUACAUCGGGAUCUACUUUUUCGUGGGGGAUAACGUAGGGAAACUUACGCUAAUACCGCAUACGACCUACGGGUGAAAGCAGGGGAUCUUCGGACCUUGCGCGAUUGAAUGAGCCGAUGUCGGAUUAGCUAGUUGGCGGGGUAAAGGCCCACCAAGGCGACGAUCCGUAGCUGGUCUGAGAGGAUGAUCGGCCACACUGGAACUGAGACACGGUCCAGACUCCUACGGGAGGCAGCAGUGGGGAAUAUUGGACAAAGGGCGCAAGCCUGAUCCAGCCAUACCGCGUGGGUGAAGAAGGCCUUCGGGUUGUAAAGCCCUUUUGUUGGGAAAGAAAAGCAGCAGGUUAAUACCCCGCUGUUCUGACGGUACCCAAAGAAUAAGCACCGGCUAACUUCGUG